AGCUGCAGGAAUGUGCAGAAUAAUGCGCAAUACCCGCGCCGAAAUUCAGGCCCAGCUUAAAGGGGAGCGGUUAUGGCCAGGGGAGCGGCCAGGGGAGCGGUUAUGGCCAGGGGAGCGGCCAUGGCGAGGGAAGCGGUCAUGGUCAGGGAAGCGGCCAGGGGAGCGGUCAGGGAAGCGGUCAUGGUCAGGGGAGCGGAUAUGGUCAGGGGAGCGGUCAGGGGAGCGGCUGUGGUGAAGGAAGUGGUCAGGGAUGUGGUCAUUGAAACGAUCAUGGGAAUUUUGCAUAACACCUACUGGAGAGCUUUUCAAUUCAGUGCUUUAAUCAUAUGGCAUGUUUUCCCUGUCCGCCCCCCCUCAAAUAAAAAGAAAAUUGCUUGAUUGAAGAAUUGGUGUUUGUGUCAUUUGGCCGUUUUCUCACAACUGCUUUCUGGCAUCAGUGCUUUAAGUUCCUCUCCCUGAGACCUGGGCCCUCAUGUAUAAAACUUUUCCGUAGAUUUCAUCCUAAAUGUGUGCAUACGUACAAGUUUUCAAAUUUAUAAAGCCAUGCGUACGUCACAACCUGCGCAAAGUUCCCUUUGUAAUACCCAGUCAGCGGAAGAUUGUGAGUACAUGAAUCUCCCCC
This 622-nucleotide long non-coding RNA is filed under the name Sinocyclocheilus anshuiensis. RNAcentral describes it as "lncRNA (ENSSANG00000044372.1)". The record is from RNAcentral. Lineage: Eukaryota; Metazoa; Chordata; Actinopteri; Cypriniformes; Cyprinidae.